AAGAGCUGGGGCCUGGCGGAACAUAACAGUUUGCGUAUUUUCCACCUACAUUAUCAAGCUACUGUGACAGCAAGUCAAAGAUUUUCAAAGCCAUCCCAGCCACUGUCCUGUCUCCCAACAAGUGCCAAGAGGCACUGAUUCAAUACUUCGCUGCCGCAGCCUAUAGGUGAAUGUUCUUGGUGAGAUUGGAGGGAGGAACAUUGAUAAAUGUGUGAAGCGAGUAAUGAAGUUCAUAGUAAGCAACACACUGGCCACAAAACUGAACAUGUCUGGAAGGAACAACAAGAAGGCAUUUGGUUCCA
This is a long non-coding RNA of Eriocheir sinensis (Chinese mitten crab), 302 nucleotides long. RefSeq lists it as uncharacterized. The transcript is spliced from 3 exons. The record is from RefSeq and is a predicted model, not a curated record. NCBI's taxonomy places the organism in Eukaryota, Metazoa, Arthropoda, Malacostraca, Decapoda, Varunidae.